Mesocricetus auratus (golden hamster) is the source of this 2340-nucleotide RNA transcript. It is a transcript of the gene named C-type lectin domain family 18 member C, with no coding region annotated. NCBI's taxonomy places the organism in Eukaryota, Metazoa, Chordata, Mammalia, Rodentia, Cricetidae. The record is from RefSeq and is a predicted model, not a curated record. The transcript has 15 exons.
CUUUGGGGGCUCCCCGAGGGUGCUAAUAAUCCUACAAUGAUUAGCAGGGGCCACAGGGUCAGUGCACACUGCUCUGCUUGCUGUUGUGGAGCAGACACGGAAGCUGGAGGCAGGCGGCAUUCAGAAGGGCUCUAUGUCUCCAUUGAAGCCGGUGCACCACUGAGGGGAGGCUGUUUGGACACAAUGAUGACUCACUAGCCUCCUCCUUUUGUCUGGCAGCUUAGCCUGACUCCUUCAGACUGUGAAUAGCUUCAGGAAGCCUGGGAAGUUAGUUGGAAUGCUGAGAGAAGCCAUGUCUGCAGCACCAGGCAGGCCAAGGAUUCAUCCAGAGCUCUCCCUGGGUCGGGGAGGCCAGAGCCAAUGGCUUGGUCUCCUGCUUCUGCUCCUGUCUCUCCUUGGCAUCACCUGCACAGAGGUGCCAGCACCCCAAAUGCCAGAACCAGUUCCAGCUCUCCAAGCCCUGAGCAGGAAGGAGAGUUUCUUAAUCCUCUCCCUACACAACCGUCUGCGCAGCCAAGUCCAGCCUCCUGCAGCCAACAUGCAGAGAAUGGACUGGAGUGAGAGCCUGGCCCAAGCAGCUCAAGCCAGAGCAGCCCUCUGUGGCACUUCAGUCACCCCGGACCUGGUAUCUGCCCCACAGCACAUCCCGCAAGUGGGCUGGAAUGUGCAGCUAUUGCCUGUGGGCUCAGCAUCCUUUGUCGAAGUGGUCAACCUCUGGUUCGCUGAAGGACUUCAGUAUAGACAUGGGGAUGCUGAGUGUGCCCACAACGCCACCUGUACACACUACACACAGCUUGUGUGGGCCACCUCCAGCCAGCUGGGCUGUGGGAGGCAUCUGUGCUCUGUGGACCAGGCAGCCAUGGAAGCCUUUGUCUGUGUCUACUCCCCCGGAGGCAACUGGGAUGUCAACGGGAAGACGAUCGCCCCGUAUAAGAAAGGCCCCUGGUGUUCGCUCUGCACAGCCAGCGUCUCCGGCUGCUUCAAAGCCUGGGAUCACGCAGGGGGCCUCUGUGAGGUUCCCAGAAACCCAUGUCGCGUGAGCUGCAGAAAUCAUGGCCAUCUCAACAUUAGCACUUGUCACUGUCACUGUCCCCCGGGCUACACAGGGAGGUACUGCCAAGUGAGGUGCAGUGUGCAGUGUGUGCAUGGCCGAUUCCGGGAAGAAGAAUGUUCCUGCAUCUGUGAUGUCGGCUAUGGGGGAGCCCAGUGUGCCACCAAGGUGCACUUUCCUUUUCACACCUGUGACCUGAGGAUUGAUGGAGACUGCUUCAUGGUGUCUUCCGAGGCAGACACCUAUUACGGAGCCAAGAUGAAAUGUCAGGGAAAAGGUGGGGUACUAGCCCAGAUCGAGAGCCAGAAAGUACAAGACAUCCUUGCCUUCUACCUGGGCCGCCUGGAGACCACCAACGAAGUGACUGACAGUGACUUUGAGACCAGGAAUUUCUGGAUUGGUCUCACCUACAAGGCAGCUAAAGACUCCUUCCGCUGGACUACUGGAGAACACCGGUCCUUCACCAGUUUUGCCUUUGGGCAGCCUGACAACCAGGGGGAAGCCUGGACCCAGCUGAUGCAGACACGGGGCCGAGCUGUUCUGUACAGAGAACAUUCUGGCUAUGUGGCAUCGCCCUGGUCUUCAAAGCCCAGGAGUGCCAUGACAGGGACAGAGGUGGUUUGGGAACUGUGUGGAGAUGCAGGCAUCUGCUGCCUUCAACUGGAAUGACCAACGCUGUAAAACUAGGAACCGUUACAUCUGUCAGUUUGCUAAGAAGCACAUCUCCCUGUGGGAGCCAGGGCCCUGAGCCUGGCCAGGCAGCUCUCCCGCCAGCCCCUGAGUGCACAAGUUAGUUUGUCUGACUGCUCACCUGUGUGAAACCAGGGCUGGGCUGGAACUGAAUAUACCACAUCUAAAGAGGCCUCAGAACUUGCACAAUGCUGGACACUGGACUGAACAUGGCUGGAGAGUCCAGGCCAGGCUCUGCCCAUCCAGGCCAGAAGAGGACACAGGACACGGCCAUCUUCCAGUGAGUCCAUCCUGUCAGCAAGGGAGACUGAUCAUCCACUUGUUUGAGAUGGAAAAGGGAAUCUAGAUUCCCUAAGUGUGCUGCCCACUCUGCAACUCAGGCUGCUCAAUUCUGUGACUUAUUCUUGAGCCUCAGGUCUUGUCUGUUACUGAGGGAAUUGAGUCAGUGCAUUCCACCUUAUCAAGCCUACAUUACCUGACGUCUGCCAGCCUAGAGUCAGGGAGUCUUCCAAGGAGAACCUCUCCUGUGGGGAGUCAGAAAAUGUUUUUCUAGAUGUCUAGGGACAUUUCUGGAUGACAACUUGUCCUUAGCUUGGCAU